Molecule: ribosomal RNA, 827 nt
Filed under: uncultured bacterium
Lineage: Bacteria
Description: bacterial SSU rRNA
Rfam family: Bacterial small subunit ribosomal RNA
Source: RNAcentral
AGAGUUUGUUCCUGGCUCAGGAUGAACGCUAGCGACAGGCUUAACACAUGCUAUUCCGAGGGGCAGCGGGGCGGCAGGCUUGCCUGCCGUUGCCGGCGACCGGCGCACGGGUGAGUAACACGUAUGCAACCUGCCCGUGGCAGGGGGACAAGCGGGGGAAACCCCGUCUAAUACCGCGUAACGCGGCCUAGGGACUUACCGAGGCCCCCCAAGGGAGCAAUCCUGGCCACGGAUGGGGCAUGGCGGUGCAUUAGUUAGUCGGCGGGGUAACGGCCCACCGAGGCGACGAUGCGUAGGGGUUCUGAGAGGAAAGGCCCCCCACACUGGUACUGAGACACGGACCAGACUCCUACGGGAGGCAGCAGUGAGGAAUAUUGGUCAAUGGGCGCGAGCCUGAACCAGCCAAGUCGCGUGAGGGAGGACAAACCCUACGGGUUGUAAACCUCUUUUGCCGGGGAGCAACGGGCGUCACGUGUGGCGCCACUGAGAGUACCCGGAGAAAAAGCAUCGGCUAACUCCGUGCCAGCAGCCGCGGUAAUACGGAGGAUGCGAGCGUUAUCCGGAUUUAUUGGGUUUAAAGGGUGCGUAGGCGGAAUAUCAAGUCAGCGGUAAAAAUUCGGGGCUCAACCCCGUCGUGCCGUUGAAACUGAUGUUCUUGAGUGGGCGAGAAGUAUGCGGAAUGCGUGGUGUAGCGGUGAAAUGCAUAGAUAUUGCGCAGAACUCCGAUUGCGAAGGCAGCCUACCGGCGCCAGACUGACGCUGAGGCACGAAAGCGUGGGGAUCGAACAGGAUUAGAUACCCUGGUAGUCCACGCAGUAAACGAUGAA